UACGUAGGGUGCAGGCGUUAAUCGGAAUUACUGGGCGUAAAGCGUGCGCAGGCGGUUUCUUAAGUCAGAUGUGAAAACCCCGGGCUUAACCUGGGAACUGCGUUUGAAACUGGGAGACUUGAGUGUGGCAGAGGGGGGUGGAAUUCCACGUGUAGCAGUGAAAUGCGUAGAUAUGUGGAGGAACACCGAUGGCGAAGGCAGCCCCCUGGGUUAACACUGACGCUCAUGCACGAAAGCGUGGGGAGCAAACAGG
This 253-nucleotide ribosomal RNA is filed under the name uncultured bacterium. RNAcentral describes it as "partial 16S ribosomal RNA". It matches the Rfam family "Bacterial small subunit ribosomal RNA", at positions 524 to 776 of the family's 1533-position model. The record is from RNAcentral.